UUUGGAAAGUACAUCAAUUGGUAGAGCAUGAGGCUCUUAUUCUCAAGGUUGUGGGUUCAAGCCCCACAUUGGGCAAAA
Non-coding RNA from Podarcis lilfordi (Lilford's wall lizard), 78 nucleotides. NCBI's taxonomy places the organism in Eukaryota, Metazoa, Chordata, Lepidosauria, Squamata, Lacertidae. The record is from the annotation of a GenBank genome assembly.